AACGAACGCUGGCGGCAUGCCUAACACAUGCAAGUCGAACGAGACCCCUGACUUCGGUUGGCGGGUCUAGUGGCGCACGGGUGCGUAACGCGUGGGAAUCUGCCCCUCGGUUCGGAAUAACACAGAGAAAUUUGUGCUAAUACCGGAUGAUGACUUCGGUCCAAAGAUUUAUCGCCGAGGGAUGAGCCCGCGUAAGAUUAGCUUGUUGGUGGGGUAAUGGCCUACCAAGGCGACGAUCUUUAGCUGGUCUGAGAGGAUGAUCAGCCACACUGGGACUGAGACACGGCCCAGACUCCUACGGGAGGCAGCAGUGGGGAAUAUUGGACAAUGGGCGAGAGCCUGAUCCAGCCAUGCCGCGUGCAGGAAGACGGCCCUAUGGGUUGUAAACUGCUUUUGUACGGGAAGAAACACCCCCACGUGAGGGGGCGUUGACGGUACCGUAAGAAUAAGGAUCGGCUAACUCCGUGCCAGCAGCCGCGGUAAAGU
RNAcentral lists this ribosomal RNA (486 nucleotides) under uncultured bacterium. RNAcentral's name for it is "bacterial SSU rRNA". It matches the Rfam family "Bacterial small subunit ribosomal RNA", at positions 29 to 526 of the family's 1533-position model. The record is from RNAcentral.